This 397-nucleotide ribosomal RNA is filed under the name uncultured bacterium. RNAcentral's name for it is "partial 16S ribosomal RNA". It matches the Rfam family "Bacterial small subunit ribosomal RNA", at positions 360 to 774 of the family's 1533-position model. The record is from RNAcentral.
AAUCUGGCGCAAUGGGCGAAAGCCUGACGCAGCCAUGCCGCGUGAAUGAUGAAGGUCNNNGGAUUNUNAAAUUCUUUCACCGGNGANNUUAAUGACGGUACCAGGAGAAGAAGCCCCGGCUAACUUCGUGCCAGCAGCCGCGGUAAUACGAAGGGGGCUAGCGUUGCUCGGAAUUACUGGGCGUAAAGGUCGCGUAGGCGGAUGGUUAAGUCAGAGGUGAAAUCCCAGGGCUCAACCCUGGAACUGCCUUUGAUACUGGCGAUCUUGAGUAUGAGAGAGGUAUGUGGAACUCCGAGUGUAGAGGUGAAAUUCGUAGAUAUUAGGAAGAACACCAGUGGCGAAGGCGACAUACUGGCUCAUUACUGACGCUGAGGCGCGAAAGCGUGGGGAGCAAACA